RNAcentral lists this ribosomal RNA (440 nucleotides) under uncultured bacterium. RNAcentral describes it as "bacterial SSU rRNA". It matches the Rfam family "Bacterial small subunit ribosomal RNA", at positions 338 to 795 of the family's 1533-position model. The record is from RNAcentral.
CCUACGGGGGGCUGCAGUGGGGAAUAUUGCACAAUGGGGGAAACCCUGAUGCAGCAACGCCGCGUGAGCGAUGAAGGCCUUCGGGUCGUAAAGCUCUGUCCUAAGGGAAGAAUACUGACGGUACCUUAGGAGGAAGCCCCGUCUAACUACGUGCCAGCAGCCGCGGUAAUACGUAGGGGGCUAGUGUUAUCCGGAAUUACUGGGCGUAAAGGGUGCGUAGGCGGCCCUUCAAGUCAGAGGUCAAAGGCUACGGCUCAACCGUAGUAAGCCUUUGAAACUGUAGGGCUUGAGUCCAGGAGAGGAGGGUGGAAUUCCCAGUGCUGAGGAGAAAUGCGUAGAUUUUGGGAGGACCACCAGUUGCGAAUGCGGCUCUCUGGACUGUAACUGACGCUGACGCACGAAAGCGUGGGGAGCGAACGGGAUUAGAUGCCCUGGUCGUC